Molecule: long non-coding RNA, 3160 nt
Filed under: Prunus dulcis (almond)
Lineage: Eukaryota; Viridiplantae; Streptophyta; Magnoliopsida; Rosales; Rosaceae
Description: sRNA ncRNA
Source: RNAcentral
AUGUCUAGAGGAGCAUAUGUUGUUCUAGGUGGUGGCCACGCAGAGGAACUAGGCAUCAUGCAAGACAACUCGGGGACGAUACUUUUGCUCUGCAUGAUUCUUAUGUCUCUCUCACUUAUAUCAAUGGUCAUAUUUGCUUGUGGUGAUGAUGAAGGAUCAAGCAAGAAAAGAUACGGAGGCGGCGGCGGCGGUAUUGUUGGUGAUGGUGGUGCAGCUUGUGGUGGCGGUGGCGGUUGUGGAGGUGGAGGUUGUUAGGAAGAUAUAUACAACUAUGUUUUCAUAAAAUUAAGAAAAGCUCGAAUUUAUGUCCACAAAACCUGUCGUUCUUAUAAUUGUUCUUGUUGAUACUAAUAUUGGUUUGUAAGUUAUGUUAUAUCGAUGGAGCUUCUUAUGUAUAUGAUGGUCAGAUUUUGGCUUUUACUAAUUUUGAUGGUAGUGUUUGUUUUUCUCUUUUAAAAUUCACUUUAAAUUUCUAUCAACAAAAAUGCAAUAUUCAGUAAAUUCCCAUAUUGCCAUUCUCUGCUGUUUACAAUUUUUGAGAGAGAGAGAGAGAGAGAGAGAGAGAGUCGGUCUACAAUACAAAGGUGGGGCCCGUUGGCAGAGGGAGAAUAGGCUCUUUCAUUAUAAUUUAGCAUAACAAAAUAACAAUGAUAAAACACCUAUUUAAAGACUUCUCUUAUCAUAACCGAUUAACCCACUCUCAUAUCUUAGACUCUUCAUCAACCCACUAAUUCAUGAAGCUGACAGUUUAUUCAAUUAAUUAAUAUAUGAACUUAUUAAAUCCGAGAAUAAGAAAAGACUCAACAUAAUAGCAUAUUGAAACUUCUUGAAUGCAAUAAUGAUGCAUAUUUGGUUUAAUUCUCCAACAUUCCCCUCAUUCCCCUUCCGUCUCUCACUCUCUUUUUCUCUCUCCCUCACACCAUCCUCCCAGUCACGCCACCACCUGACCCCACUACCCAGAGCCAUCAUACAACCAAACCCAGCCUCUAUCCGAAUCCUAGCCCCACCCGAGAAAGGACGAAAUUAACCAAAAUUGAGAGAGAGAGAGAGAGAGAGAGAGAGAGGGUCUAUGAAGGUGGGGCCGUUGGCAGAGGGGGAUGGUUGCAUGUAUUUUUGUUUUUGUUUUAAUCUUUUUUAUUUAUAAAAAGACUUAAUUUUCUUUUUUUAAAAAAAGGAUUUGAAGUUUUAAACUAUUUAAAAUAUAUAAUUGUAUUUUAUUUAAAGUCAUGUGUGAUUAUCUCAUUCGAUAUGUGGCACCACAUAUGUGCCACCAGUGGCGGAUCUGUGCAGGCGCAAGGAGGUGCACCUGCACCUCUGGUAUUCGGAAAAGUCCAUUAGAGCAGCUGGAGUUGCACCUCUGCUUCAGACAAGAGAUGCAAGCAACGUGUUCAACGAAAUGCCCAAACCACCUGGGUUGGGCGCUGCAUCUGCUGUGCGCUGAGCGCGCUUGUUUUUUUUUAAACAUCCCCUAGCCAAAACGACGUCGUUUUGGACCAGGCUUUUAAAAAAUGCGUUGGUUUUUUUUUUUAAUAAAAAAAAAUGGCCAAAACGACGUCGUUUUGGACCAGGGUUUAAAAAAAAAGAAAAAAAAAAGGAAACUGCUCCUGCUGCUGGGCCAUUCUAUUGGCUUUCGAAUUUGUAUUAUUCCUUACUAAAUUGGGUUUCCAAUUUCUAUAAUUCCUUACUUAAUUAAGUGGGAGUUAUCUUUAUUCAAUUGGGUUUUGAGAAUUCUUUAUUUAAUUGGGAUUGGAAUUCUCUUUAUAAAGGACCAAUUUAACAUUACCCAAAUUCAUCAAAGUGUGUGUGCAUGACAAGAAUCAUAUAUAUUUUUUCCUUCUUCUUGAGUAUGCCAAUCCAAAGUAAGUUGAAUGCAUAUUUUUUUUCUUGAGCAAACGCCAAUUUUGUUUAUUCUUUUUUUAUUUUUUAUAAUAAAUUUUUUUUUUUCUUAUUGAGCUCUCUCUGUAUUAGUAAGAUUAGUAGCAAACUCAAGGAGGAAGAGGCUACUUGACACGCUAUUCGAGGUAUAAUUAAUUUUUAUUUAUUUAUUUAAUUGAUAAUUUGAUAUUGAUUUGUUUAUUUAAUUGAUAAAUUAUAAUCAAUUAGUCAUACGUAUAGAUAUAAAACCCUUAUUUUGUUUUAAUUGUACAGUUAUGGAACGAUAAUUUAAGAGAAAGAAUUUAUUAUGAAUAACAUUAGUAUUGUUUAAAUUAUAAGGAUGUUUAGUUGUUUUUUUUUUUUUUGGGAGCUCUUAGCUUUUGAAAAUUGUACAUCUGUUGAAAAAUUCCUAGGUCUGCUGCUGUGUACCACGUCAGCAAUUUAACAUUAAUUUUGAAGGAACCUAGUAGCAAGAACAAAUUGAUAAAUGACAAAUAAUGUCACAAAAAGAAAAAAGAAAAAAGAAAAGGAUCAAAUGUGAUAAUUUCGCCGACCUUAAGACUAUUGUGAUAAAAACCCAAAAAUUAAAAAGAAAACACAUGUACAAAAAUAUCAUUGGUCAAUGUCAAUGGGGUGGAGAUGGAAUCUGGAGUGGCCGUAAGUAUUUUUCUUGUACACAAUUAAAUAGGAAGAGACAAACAAAAUCUCACAUCUGAUCUUCUUAGCAUUUUCACGAAGCAAAACAUAAGGGUUGCAGCAAUUAUUGCAUCUCAACUCAAUCUAGCUAGCUAUCCCUUUCUCUUUGAAAAUUUUCGCAAGUUUCUGUCUCUCUUCAAGCCUUUCAACAUCAGCUAGAAUCGUCAACAUAAGACUUGCAAUUGCACGGCAUUUGCUGCCAUUGCAUUAUAAAUACAUAUAUGCUUGGAUUAACGAACAGCUAGCUAAUCUUGUAACUCAUCGAAAAAUGGCCAGAGGAACAUAUGUUGUUCUAGGUGGUGGCCACGCAGAGGAACUAGGCCUCAUGCAAGACAACUCGGGGGGGAUAUUUUUGCUCUGCAUGAUUCUUAUGUCUCUCUCACUUAUAUCAAUGGUCAUAUUUGCUUGUGGUGAUGCUGAAGGAUCAAGCAAGAAAGGAUACGGAGGCGGAGUCGGUGGCGGUGGUGCAGCUGCUACUGCUGGUGCUGCUGCUUGUGGUGGUGGUGGUGCUGCUGCUGGAGGUUGUGGAGGUGGUGGAGGUGGUGGAGGUGGCGGUUGCGGAGGUGGAGGUGGAGGUGGAGGUUGUUAG